Molecule: ribosomal RNA, 164 nt
Filed under: Chrysosplenium alternifolium
Lineage: Eukaryota; Viridiplantae; Streptophyta; Magnoliopsida; Saxifragales; Saxifragaceae
Also listed under: 1 other name
Description: 5.8S ribosomal RNA
Rfam family: 5.8S ribosomal RNA
About the family: 5.8S ribosomal RNA (5.8S rRNA) is a component of the large subunit of the eukaryotic ribosome.
Source: RNAcentral
UUAAUGACUCUCGGCAACGGAUAUCUCGGCUCUCGCAUCGAUGAAGAACGUAGCGAAAUGCGAUACUUGGUGUGAAUUGCAGAAUCCCGUGAACCAUCGAGUUUUUGAACGCAAGUUGCGCCCAAAGCCAUUUGGUUGAGGGCACGUCUGCCUGGGCGUCACGU